CCUACGGGUGACAGCAGUGAGGAAUAUUGGUCAAUGGACGCAAGUCUGAACCAGCCAUGCCGCGUGCAGGAAGACGGCUCUAUGAGUUGUAAACUGCUUUUGUACGAGGGUAAACGCAGAUACGCGUAUCUGUCUGAAAGUAUCUUACGAAUAAGGAUCGGCUAACUCCGUGCCAGCCGCCGCGGUAAUACGGAGGAUUCAAGCGUUAUCCGGAUUUAUUGGGUUUAAAGGGUGCGUAGGCGGUCGGAUAAGUUAGAGGUGAAAUCCCGAGGCUCAACUUCGGAAUUGCCUCUGAUACUGUUCGGCUAGAGAGUAGUUGCGGUAGGCAGAAUGUAUGGUGUAGCGGUGAAAUGCUUAGAGAUCAUACAGAACACCGAUUGCGAAGGCAGCUUACCAAGCUACUUCUGACGUUGAGGCACGAAAGCGUGGGGAGCAAACAGGAUUAGAUACCCUUGUAGUC
This 460-nucleotide ribosomal RNA is filed under the name uncultured bacterium. Its description in RNAcentral is "partial 16S ribosomal RNA". It matches the Rfam family "Bacterial small subunit ribosomal RNA", at positions 338 to 795 of the family's 1533-position model. The record is from RNAcentral.